This 82-nucleotide transfer RNA is filed under the name Deltaproteobacteria bacterium. RNAcentral describes it as "tRNA-Leu". It matches the Rfam family "tRNA". Rfam says of the family: Transfer RNA (tRNA) molecules are approximately 80 nucleotides in length. Their secondary structure includes four short double-helical elements and three loops (D, anti-codon, and T loops). The record is from RNAcentral. Lineage: Bacteria; Pseudomonadati; Myxococcota; Myxococcia. RNAcentral also lists the same sequence under 3 other names.
GCGAGGAUGGCGGAAUUGGCAGACGCACUAGCUUGAGGUGCUAGCGAGUAACAUCGUGGGGGUUCAAGUCCCCCUCCUCGCA